Molecule: ribosomal RNA, 470 nt
Filed under: uncultured bacterium
Lineage: Bacteria
Description: bacterial SSU rRNA
Rfam family: Bacterial small subunit ribosomal RNA
Source: RNAcentral
CCAGACUCCUACGGGAGGCAGCAGUAGGGAAUCUUCGGCAAUGGACGGAAGUCUGACCGAGCAACGCCGCGUGAGUGAAGAAGGUUUUCGGAUCGUAAAGCUCUGUUGUAAGAGAAGAACGAGUGUGAGAGUGGAAAGUUCACACUGUGACGGUAUCUUACCAGAAAGGGACGGCUAACUACGUGCCAGAAAACCAAAAGUAAUACGUAGGUCCCGAGCGUUGUCCGGAUUUAUUGGGCGUAAAGCGAGCGCAGGCGGUUAGAUAAGUUUGAAGUUAAAGGCUGUGGCUUAACCAUAGUACGCUUUGGAAACUGUUUAACUUGAGUGCAAGAGGGGAGAGUGGAAUUCCAUGUGUAGCGGUGAAAUGCGUAGAUAUAUGGAGGAACACCGGUGGCGAAAGCGGCUCUCUGGCUUGUAACUGACGCUGAGGCUCGAAAGCGUGGGGAGCAAACAGGAUUAGAUACCCUGGU